Molecule: ribosomal RNA, 253 nt
Filed under: uncultured bacterium
Lineage: Bacteria
Description: partial 16S ribosomal RNA
Rfam family: Bacterial small subunit ribosomal RNA
Source: RNAcentral
UACAGAGGGGGCAAGCGUUGUUCGGAAUUACUGGGCGUAAAGGGCGCGUAGGCGGCCUUCUAAGUCGAACGUGAAAUCCCUGGGCUCAACCCAGGAACUGCGUCCGAUACUGGAAGGCUUGAAUCCGGGAGAGGGAUGCGGAAUUCCAGGUGUAGCGGUGAAAUGCGUAGAUAUCUGGAGGAACACCGGUGGCGAAGGCGGCAUCCUGGACCGGCAUUGACGCUGAGGCGCGAAAGCCAGGGGAGCGAACGGG